CCUACGGGAGGCAGCAGUGGGGGAUAUUGGACAAUGGGGGGAACCCUGAUCCAGCGACGCCGCGUGAGUGAAGAAGUAUUUCGGUAUGUAAAGCUCUGUCAGCAGGGAAGAAAGAAAUGACGGUACCUGACCACGAAGCCCCGGCUAACUACGUGCCAGCAGCCGCGGUAAUACGUAGGGGGCAAGCGUUAUCCGGAAUUACUGGGGGUAAAGGUAGCGUAGACGGUUAAGUAAGUCUGGAGUGAAAGGCCGGGGCCCAACCCCGGGACUGCUCUGGAAACUAUUCAACUUGAGUGCAGGAGAGGUAAGCGGAAUUCCUAGUGUAGCGGUGAAAUGCGUAGAUAUUAGGAGGAACACCAGUGGCGAAGGCGGCUUACUGGACUGUAACUGACGUUGAGGCUCGAAAGCGUGGGGAGCAAACAGGAUUAGAUACCCCGGUAGUC
RNAcentral lists this ribosomal RNA (443 nucleotides) under uncultured bacterium. RNAcentral's name for it is "partial 16S ribosomal RNA". It matches the Rfam family "Bacterial small subunit ribosomal RNA", at positions 338 to 795 of the family's 1533-position model. The record is from RNAcentral.